AAAUAGAUACCCGGGUAGUCCAUGCCGUAAACGUUGGGAACUAGAUGUGGGGACCAUUCCACGGUCUCCGUGUCGCAGCUAACGCAUUAAGUUCCCCGCCUGGGGAGUACGGCCGCAAGGCUAAAACUCAAAGGAAUUGACGGGGGCCCGCACAAGCGGCGGAGCAUGCGGAUUAAUUCGAUGCAACGCGAAGAACCUUACCAAGGCUUGACAUAUACGAGAACGCUGCAGAAAUGUAGAACUCUUUGGACACUCGUAUACAGGUGGUGCAUGGUUGCCGUCAGCUCGUGUCGUGAGAUGUUGGGUUAAGUCCCGCAACGAGCGCAACCCUCGUCGUAUGUUGCCAGCACGUAAUGGUGGGAACUCAUAUGAGACUGCCGGGGUCAACUCGGAGGAAGGUGGGGAUGAGGUCAAAUCAUCAUGCCCCUUAUGUCUUGGGCUUCACGCAUGCUACAAUGGCCGGUACAAAGGGCUGCAAUACCGCAAGGUGGAGCGAAUCCCAAAAAAGCCGGUCUCAGUUCGGA
Molecule: ribosomal RNA, 524 nt
Filed under: uncultured bacterium
Lineage: Bacteria
Description: bacterial SSU rRNA
Rfam family: Bacterial small subunit ribosomal RNA
Source: RNAcentral